AUGAAACCUUAAUUCUUCUUCCUUUUCUUUUUAAUUCUCUCUUUCUUGUCUCUCACGCUACAACGGUUUCUCAACAACUGUAGAACUAUUGGGAUCAAUGCCUUGUCUGGCCCCUUUCCCAAGGAAAUUGGUUUGCUUACAAGUCUAAAAUCGCUAGGUAUUGGUCUAAAUAACUUUUCCGGUCCUAUACCAGCUGAGAUUGGGAACUGCACAAGACUACUGAAAAUAUACCUAGGAAAUUCUGGACUUAGUGGAGAAAUAC
Camelina sativa (false flax) is the source of this 262-nucleotide non-coding RNA. Lineage: Eukaryota; Viridiplantae; Streptophyta; Magnoliopsida; Brassicales; Brassicaceae. The record is from RefSeq and is a predicted model, not a curated record.